GACGAACGCUGGCGGCGUGCUUAACACAUGCAAGUCGAACGGAAAGGCCCUGCUUUUGUGGGGUGCUCGAGUGGCGAACGGGUGAGUAACACGUGAGUAACCUGCCCUUGACUUUGGGAUAACUUCAGGAAACUGGGGCUAAUACCGGAUAGGAGCUCCUGCUGCAUGGUGGGGGUUGGAAAGUUUCGGCGGUUGGGGAUGGACUCGCGGCUUAUCAGCUUGUUGGUGGGGUAGUGGCUUACCAAGGCUUUGACGGGUAGCCGGCCUGAGGGGGUGACCGGCCACAUUGGGACUGAGAUACGGCCCAGACUCCUACGGGAGGCAGCAGUGGGGAAUAUUGCACAAUGGGCGGAAGCCUGAUGCAGCAACGCCGCGUGCGGGAUGACGGCCUUCGGGUUGUAAACCGCUUUCGCCUGUGACGAAGCGUGAGUGACGGUAAUGGGUAAAGAAGCACCGGCUAACUACGUGCCAGCAGCCGCGGUGAUACGUAGGGUGCGAGCGUUGUCCGGAUUUAUUGGGCGUAAAGGGCUCGUAGGUGGUUGAUCGCGUCGGAAGUGUAAUCUUGGGGCUUAACCCUGAGCGUGCUUUCGAUACGGGUUGACUUGAGGAAGGUAGGGGAGAAUGGAAUUCCUGGUGGAGCGGUGGAAUGCGCAGAUAUCAGGAGGAACACCAGUGGCGAAGGCGGUUCUCUGGGCCUUUCCUGACGCUGAGGAGCGAAAGCGUGGGGAGCGAACAGGCUUAGAUACCCUGGUAGUCCACGCUGUAAACGGUGGGUACUAGGUGUGGGGUCCAUUCCACGGGUUCCGUGCCGUAGCUAACGCUUUAAGUACCCCGCCUGGGGAGUACGGCCGCAAGGCUAAAACUCAAAGGAAUUGACGGGGCCCCGCACAAGCGGCGGAGCAUGCGGAUUAAUUCGAUGCAACGCGUAGAACCUUACCUGGGUUUGACAUGGAUCGGGAGUGCUCAGAGAUGGGUGUGCCUCUUUUGGGGUCGGUUCACAGGUGGUGCAUGGCUGUUGUCAGCUCGUGUCGUGAGAUGUUGGGUUAAGUCCCGCAACGAGCGCAACCCUUGUUCACUGUUGCCAGCACGUUAUGGUGGGGACUCAGUGGAGACCGCCGGGGUCAACUCGGAGGAAGGUGGGGAUGACGUCAAGUCAUCAUGCCCCUUAUGUCCAGGGCUUCACGCAUGCUACAAUGGCUGGUACAGAGAGUGGCGAGCCUGUGAGGGUGAGCGAAUCUCGGAAAGCCGGUCUCAGUUCGGAUUGGGGUCUGCAACUCGACCUCAUGAAGUCGGAGUCGCUAGUAAUCGCAGAUCAGCAACGCUGCGGUGAAUACGUUCCCGGG
This 1343-nucleotide ribosomal RNA is filed under the name uncultured bacterium. RNAcentral describes it as "16S ribosomal RNA". It matches the Rfam family "Bacterial small subunit ribosomal RNA", at positions 28 to 1378 of the family's 1533-position model. The record is from RNAcentral.